This 378-nucleotide unclassified non-coding RNA is filed under the name uncultured bacterium. RNAcentral describes it as "contains 16S-23S intergenic spacer region". The record is from RNAcentral.
UCCGGUUUGACACCGGCAGUCUCUCAUGAGUCCCCACCAUCACGUGCUGGCAACAUAGAACGAGGGUUGCGCUCGUUGCGGGACUUAACCCAACAUCUCACGACACGAGCUGACGACAACCAUGCACCACCUGUCCACCAGCCCCGAAGGGAAACCCCAUCUCUGAGGCGGUCCGGUGAAUGUCAAGCCUUGGUAAGGUUCUUCGCGUUGCGUCGAAUUAAACCACAUGCUCCACCGCUUGUGCGGGCCCCCGUCAAUUCCUUUGAGUUUCAGCCUUGCGGCCGUACUCCCCAGGCGGGGCACUUAAUGCGUUAGCGCCGGCACUCGGGGGGUCGCUCCCCCAAGCACCUAGUGCCCACCGUUUACGGCGUGGACUAC